This is a long non-coding RNA of Clupea harengus (Atlantic herring), 1234 nucleotides long. The record is from Ensembl. NCBI's taxonomy places the organism in Eukaryota, Metazoa, Chordata, Actinopteri, Clupeiformes, Clupeidae.
GCAUCGGCGCUACUGCAUGUUGCCAACGCCCUAGGCUGUCAAGUUGCCAGCCGCACUCGGCCAGAUUGCAGUUGACCGUUGCCGACUCCACAAUUCAGUUCGGCAAAGCAAAGUAAAUAGGGAGAGUCUCCGUUGAAGCUUCGUGCCAAAAGCGGAAAAAGCAAAACCGAAUUGCCAGCACAGAUUCCGGACUCGGCUCUAGUCUUCUUGUUGGAUGGGUAGACCCUAUUCCGUUAGUGAGCUACUUUUUUUUUUAAGUAGCUACAGGAAGACAGUCUACUUUUCGUCUUUUGAGACUUGGUAAAUCUGCCUUUUGUCCUUGAUCAUUGUCUCCGAAAUCAAUAAUGGGGAGCACAAUCACCCAUGUGGCCAACGCCUCGGGGAUGCCCAUCCGGGUUUACUACAGCGUGGAUCAAAUGCGGCUGGAGGAGCUGGUGAUGGAAGUUAAUGUCAGAGGGGAAGCCACUGGGAUUAGAGAAGCGAGCCAAUCAACAAAGAUGAUUUUCAAAGCCGACUCCCGUGUCCGCUUCAUACUUAUUCCGGCAAAAGAGUUCGGCAAAAUUAUAGAAAGAGGGCCACUUUACGUCACCGUCUUUUUGGAGAGCAACGACUCCAGUAAUGAAUGCCUGAAGUCCAUCGCGGAGAAUUUCUGCAUCCCCAAUAACAGGUCCUUUAUUGUGACGAAAAAAGGCCACAUAAAGUGGCAGAAAUAUGGGGAAAACAUUUGGGAAGAUGAGCAAGGCAACAGACACUAGCUAUUAUCUAGCUGUUGCUAUUAAGUAGAGCAACGUUGAGUAUUCAAUAAGGAUAGGAAUCAGAUAAUAUGAAUGUUUUUAAAUUUACAGUUUUUCUCCCUGCCACUGAGAAGUACUUCACAUUAUUAUUUUUUUAAUUAACGGGUUCAAUAAAUGACCAAUAGGUGGCGGUGGUGCACUUUGCACAGUUGUCUCUUCAUACUCAAUGAAUAAACGUCAAAGAUACAGUCCCCAAAUCCUGAUGAAAGGUUGCUGAUAUGUAUGUUUUUUUUUUGUUUUUUUGGAGCACACACACUGGAUGGAUAGCUAAAGGAAUGUGAUGGGAAUUUCGCUGAAUUGCAUGUAGAGUGGUGUAUUUCUCAUUCAAAAAGUUCAAAUGGAAUCAAUUUAACAAUAUGGAAAUAGUUUUUCAAACAAACUACAGCAUUACAAACAGGUUAAAAAUAUUGACUUAGGAAGUAGAGUAAGACAUCGAAGAG